CUUCAAUAUUACUCUUUUAAAGCGGAAAAUAUAGCGAAACAACAAAAAUCAGAAUUUUGGCAAUACACGUGACGUCACAGAUUGCAACUAGGUUUAGACUGUGACGUCAGAAAGUUUCCUAUCCAGUUAUUUUACAAUCCAUGGUGAAAUCCACUUGCGUCAGCGGCGAAAUAUCGUGCUUGUCGCCUGCGAGCGUGUCACAACGAGCUCAAGCAAGCGACAUUUUUGUCAACACGGGCGUCACCCGAAAAUUGGUAUCACUAAUUUUGGUGACAUUUUGUAUCAUGGCGCUCGUGUAAGUAUGCAAAAC
Non-coding RNA from Paramuricea clavata, 310 nucleotides. Lineage: Eukaryota; Metazoa; Cnidaria; Anthozoa; Malacalcyonacea; Plexauridae. The record is from the annotation of a GenBank genome assembly.